UACUUUUCCAUAUUUUCAAGAAUUUUAUAUUGAUUCCUUAGGACAUUUACAGUGAACAUAAAAAUGUUAGAGAGAGAGAAGAGCUUAACAUUUUUCAUUAGAGCACCCUUAAAAAAAAUAUUUUCUAAGGAAACCUGAAUUGCUUAGAUCUCAUCUCUUUUUUUUUGUUUGUUUUAUGUACAUCUUCGCCUAUAUUAGAUAGAUCAUUGAUGUACUUACCAAAACAAAAGGAAAUGGUCCUGCUUCCUAUGAAAUUGUGUAAGCAUGUGCCCUAAUAACCACCUUUGUUUUAGUUCUUUCCAGUCUAUUUAAAAUUCUGGUCUUUAUCUGACAAGCUGGAACUUCUUUACUUCUUUUUUUUUUUUUUUUUUUUUUUUGAGACACAGUUUCGCUCUCGUUGUCCAGGCUGGAGUGCAAUGGCGCGAUCUCAGCUCACUGCAACCUCUACCUUCCAGGUUCAAGCGAUUCUCCUGCCUCAGCCUCCUGAAUAGCUGGGAUUACAGGUAUGCACCACCAUGCCCAGCUAAUUAUGUAUUUUUAGUAGAGAUGGGGUUUCUCCAUGUUGUUUUUAUUUUUUCCUUAACUUUUUUUUUUUUUUUUUGAGACAAGGUCCAGGGUCUCACCCUGUUGCCCAGGCUGGAGUGAAAUGGCAGGAUCUUGGCUCACUGCAAACCCUGCCCCCCAGGCUCAAGCAAUCCUCUUGCUUCGGCCUCCAAGUAGCUGGGACUACAGGCAUGUAGCCUUGCAGGCAUGCAGGCAUGGGCCUGGAUAAUUUUGUAAUUUUUGUAGAGCUGGGGUUUCACCAUGUUGCCCAGGCUGGUCUCGAACUCGAACUCCUGAGCUCAGGUGAUCCAUCCCCUUCAGCCUCCCAAAGUGCUGGGACUGUAAGCAUGAGCCACCACGCCAGGCCCAUAUUGUUAUUUUUCAAAAAGAAAGAAAGGAAAAUGGUAAAAAUAAU
This 958-nucleotide long non-coding RNA is filed under the name Homo sapiens (human). RNAcentral's name for it is "HSALNT0160961". The record is from RNAcentral. Lineage: Eukaryota; Metazoa; Chordata; Mammalia; Primates; Hominidae.